This 427-nucleotide ribosomal RNA is filed under the name uncultured archaeon. RNAcentral describes it as "bacterial SSU rRNA". It matches the Rfam family "Archaeal small subunit ribosomal RNA", at positions 147 to 575 of the family's 1478-position model. The record is from RNAcentral.
UAAUACCGGAUAGAUCAAAGAUACUGGAAUGUUCCUUGAUCCAAAGCUCCGGCGUCCAAGGAUGGAUCUGCGGCCUAUCAGGUAGUAGUGGGUGUAACGUACCUACUAGCCUACGACGGGUACGGGUUGUGAGAGCAAGAGCCCGGAGAUGGAUUCUGAGACAUGAAUCCAGGCCCUACGGGGCGCAGCAGGCGCGAAAUCUUUAUAAUGCAGGAAACUGCGAUAAGGGGACCCCGAGUGCCAGCAUCUAAUGCUGGCUGUCCAGCUGUGUAAAUAGCAGUUGUUAGCAAGGGCCGGGCAAGACCGGUGCCAGCCGCCGCGGUAACACCGGCGGCCCGAGUGGUAACCGAUUUUAUUGGGUUUAAAGGGUCCGUAGCCGGCCUGUUAAGUCUCUUGGGAAAUCUGGCGGCUCAAUCGUCAGGCGUUC